GACGAACGCUUUCGGCGUGCUUAACACAUGCAAGUCGAACGGAAAGGCCCUGCUUUUGUGGGGUGCUCGAGUGGCGAACGGGUGAGUAACACGAGAGUAACCUGCCCUUGACUUUGGGAUAACUUCAGGAAACUGGGGCUAAUACCGGAUAGGAGCUCCUGCUGCAUGGUGGGGGUUGGAAAGUUUCGGCGGUUGGGGAUGGACUCGCGGCUUAUCAGCUUGUUGGUGGGGUAGUGGCUUACCAAGGCUUUGACGGGUAGCCGGCCUGAGAGGGUGACCGGCCACAUUGGGACUGAGAUACGGCCCAGACUCCUACGGGAGGCAGCAGUGGGGAAUAUUGCACAAUGGGCGGAAGCCUGAUGCAGCAACGCCGCGUGCGGGAUGACGGCCUUCGGGUUGUAAACCGCUUUCGCCUGUGACGAAGCGUGAGUGACGGUAAUGGGUAAAGAAGCACCGGCUAACUACGUGCCAGCAGCCGCGGUGAUACGUAGGGUGCGAGCGUUGUCCGGAUUUAUUGGGCGUAAAGGGCUCGUAGGUGGUUGAUCGCGUCGGAAGUGUAAUCUUGGGGCUUAACCCUGAGCGUGCUUUCGAUACGGGUUGACUUGAGGAAGGUAGGGGAGAAUGGAAUUCCUGGUGGAGCGGUGGAAUGCGCAGAUAUCAGGAGGAACACCAGUGGCGAAGGCGGUUCUCUGGGCCUUUCCUGACGCUGAGGAGCGAAAGCGUGGGGAGCGAACAGGCUUAGAUACCCUGGUAGUCCACGCUGUAAACGGUGGGUACUAGGUGUGGGGUCCAUUCCACGGGUUCCGUGCCGUAGCUAACGCUUUAAGUACCCCGCCUGGGGAGUACGGCCGCAAGGCUAAAACUCAAAGGAAUUGACGGGGCCCCGCACAAGCGGCGGAGCAUGCGGAUUAAUUCGAUGCAACGCGUAGAACCUUACCUGGGUUUGACAUGGAUCGGGAGUGCUCAGAGAUGGGUGUGCCUCUUUUGGGGUCGGUUCACAGGUGGUGCAUGGCUGUCGUCAGCUCGUGUCGUGAGAUGUUGGGUUAAGUCCCGCAACGAGCGCAACCCUUGUUCACUGUUGCCAGCACGUUAUGGUGGGGACUCAGUGGAGACCGCCGGGGUCAACUCGGAGGAAGGUGGGGAUGACGUCAAGUCAUCAUGCCCCUUAUGUCCAGGGCUUCACGCAUGCUACAAUGGCUGGUACAGAGAGUGGCGAGCCUGUGAGGGUGAGCGAAUCUCGGAAAGCCGGUCUCAGUUCGGAUUGGGGUCUGCAACUCGACCUCAUGAAGUCGGAGUCGCUAGUAAUCGCAGAUCAGCAACGCUGCGGUGAAUACGUUCCCGGGGCU
Molecule: ribosomal RNA, 1346 nt
Filed under: uncultured bacterium
Lineage: Bacteria
Description: partial 16S ribosomal RNA
Rfam family: Bacterial small subunit ribosomal RNA
Source: RNAcentral